RNAcentral lists this ribosomal RNA (301 nucleotides) under uncultured bacterium. Its description in RNAcentral is "partial 16S ribosomal RNA". It matches the Rfam family "Bacterial small subunit ribosomal RNA", at positions 509 to 808 of the family's 1533-position model. The record is from RNAcentral.
CAGCCGCCGCGGGAAUACGGAGGGUGCAAGCGUUAUCCGGAUUCACUGGGUUUAAAGGGUGCGUAGGCGGAUCUGUAAGUCAGUGGUGAAAUCUCCAGGCUUAACCUGGAAACUGCCGUUGAUACUAUAGGUCUUGAAUUUUGUGGAGGUUAGCGGAAUAUGUCAUGUAGCGGUGAAAUGCAUAGAUAUGACAUAGAACACCAAUUGCGAAGGCAGCUGGCUACACAACUAUUGACGCUGAGGCACGAAAGCGUGGGGAUCAAACAGGAUUAGAUACCCCCAGUAGUCCCUGUCUCUUAUU